Molecule: long non-coding RNA, 1465 nt
Filed under: Aquilegia coerulea
Lineage: Eukaryota; Viridiplantae; Streptophyta; Magnoliopsida; Ranunculales; Ranunculaceae
Description: long non-coding RNA (ACOE_LNC000719)
Source: RNAcentral
UUUAUGUUUUAUUUGUUGUUUAUAUAGUACUUAAGGGUGUAUCAUCUGUUUUUCUCUCCCAGAAUGAAGCCAAAAAAUCAAUAAAUAAAAAAAAUAUUAAAACAAUGAAAAAAAUUGAAAAGCAAAUAGAAAGAACUAAGCUAUUAGAGCCAGAAGAGCAUUUAAGAGCUCCAGCAUAGUUUGAAUUAUGCGUCUUCCGCUGUUACUUUGGACUUGUAAUGUUUUGAUGCAUAAAAAAUUCACAGAAGAGGCAAUGGUGUAAUUAGCCUCUUUGAAUUUUUUGUAGCAAUGUAGCAAAGAGCCCCCUUUCUUAGUUUCAUGUCAGUCUUGCGUAAAUAAGAUAGCUGACUUUGCAUCCAGGCCUUUGGAAUGUAAAUAUGGUGUCAAUUAACUAGAGUAACAUUAAAAUGGAGGUGAAAUAGGGAAUAACUGAGACCAUUUUCAAAGGGGUUUUUGAGAAUAUUAAUUUAUAGAGAUUAGAAGUAUUAUUGAGCGUUUAUAAAGCUUGUUUAUUUUCUUGAGACUACACAGGAUAUUACGGGAUGGACUGAUUCGAAGGGCAGCACAGGUGGUGAUUCUUCAAUGCCAGUUCCAGCAGCAAAGAAUGACCUUUCUCUGAAGAAGUGCAUGGAGUGUAAGACAGAUCACCCAAGAUUUUGGCGAAAAGGCCCUGACGGGAAGAUGGUAAAUAUAUUGUGGGUUGCAAUUCCAUUAGUGAGAUUAUGUUCGAGAGAGUUAUAUUUGUCUACUAUUUUUAAAUAUUUAUGUUUAGUUCUUACAACACAUGGUAGCGCUCUGAACUAAGUGCUUUUUUCGUUUCCAGUCUUUAUGUAAUGCUUGUGGGACACGUUACAAGCGGCGUGAAAUGAAGAAGUUGGUAGUUCCAGGUGGUGGUUCUUCAAUGCCAGGUCCAGCAGCAAAGAAUGAUCGUUCUGUUAAGAAGUGCAUGGAGUGUAAGACAGAUCACUCUAGAUUUUGGCGAAAAGGCCCUGACGGGGAGGUAAAUAUAUUUUGGGUUGCAAUGCCAUUAAUGAGAUUAUGUUCGAGAGAGUUAUAUUUGUCUACUAUUUUUGAAUUUGUAUGUUUAGUUCCUACAAGUUACAACACAUGGUAGCGUUCUGAACUAAUUGCUUUUUUCGUUUCCAGCCUUUAUGUAAUGCUUGUGGGAAACGUUACAAGAGGCGUGAAAUGAAGAAGUUGGUAGUUCCAGGUGGUGAUCCUUCAGUGCCUGUUCCAGCAGCAAAGAAUGACCUUUCUCUUAAGAAGUGCAUGGAGUGUAAGACAGAGCACACUGGAUUAUGGCGAAAAGGCCCUGACGGGAAGAUGGUAAAUAUACUUUGUAUUGCAAUUCCAUUAGUGAGGUUAUGUUCGAAAGAGUUGUAUUUGUCUACUAUUCCUGAAUUUUUAUGUUUAGUUCUUACAACACAUGGUAGCGUUCUGAACUAAUUGCUUUUCUCGUUUCCAG